Molecule: long non-coding RNA, 3531 nt
Filed under: Struthio camelus australis
Lineage: Eukaryota; Metazoa; Chordata; Aves; Struthioniformes; Struthionidae
Description: lncRNA (ENSSCUG00000002311.1)
Source: RNAcentral
AUGGUAAAGAAAAAUAAUAAUAACGAAGUCAUCUCCACCUGGCAGGCAGGGAAGGCGACGCUGUGCCAACAGGCUGGCAGCCAGGGCGAGGGGCAUCAUGUCAGGCAGCUGGUGCCCACGAGGUGUUCCUUCUUCCAGAGCCGCUCCGGCCCGGCCCGCAGCUGGUUUCGAUGGGCAAGAAGAUGUUUUGGACCCUCCGAGUUUGUCUGUGCAUUAGCCAACAUAGGAAACUGCUCAGGAGGGCUUUUCCCCUCCGUUCCUUGGCGGAAGGGCGAGGAUGAGCUCUGCAGCAGAUCCAUGGAGGCCCUUCUAGCAGACCGGAGACGCUCAUCCACAUGGCUGUUCACAAGCUCUCCAGCAUCCAGCUGGGUACUUAGCUCAGCCUUUCCCCAUUACUUUCCCUUUUCUGGAGGGGAAAACCAGCGUUUGUACCAUCCUCUUUUGGAGGAUCUAAAAAGCAGUGCCCAAAAAUGGCCGCUGAAACUGGCUCAGCUCCAGUUCAGCUAAACUGGCGUUGCGCGCUGGGGACCUGCCUUGGCGCAGGGGGACAAGGCUACACUAACGGCCAUGCAGAAAUGAAUUAAAUGAUUAUUCCUGAAGCAUCACAUCUCACUCUUGCCCACGUGACAUUAAGCAAACUGCGUUAUUAUCAAAUAAGGCCGCUGUUCUCACCUUUGGUCUAUAUUUGACUAGAUAGGUUUGGUGGUCUGCAUCCAACAGCAAGUUAAUAGCUGAACAGGGCAUAAACUCAGAUGUUUUAACAUGUCUACUGCUUGAAGAGCAGCGUUUUCACUGUUUGCUGUAGUUUCACUAGGAGGUUCUAGGCACAAACCCACCGGUUCCUUCACAGCUCUUGUGCCAAGGCCUUACAACAGAAAUGGGGUUCGAGUCCUGCAGCACAUGAGCAGAAGUUUCCUCAACAUAUGAAGAGCUUUCCCAGCUUAUCCUGACCAAACGGUCUUUGGUGUCCUGCCCCUUGGCUCUUACCUGUGUCAAGGAGACAAGCCCUACUGCGUUCCAGCAUCUGCAAGACCUUCCUUUUAGGCAGCUCCUCUGCACUGUGAUGGGGCAGUGAUUUUAACAGGAUCGCUUACCCACGACAUAUUUUUUCCUUGCAGGCUGUAGCUACCUUUGGUUUAACUUCUGCUCUUCAGAUGGGUCACAAGGGAAUUAAUUCAAGCACAUUAAGUUCAAAUUGAUAUUCUGAGGGCAUAUAAAAAAAUCCCUAAUACACAACUCACCUUUUUUCUACCGAGGCAAGCCAAAGGAGCUCCAACAGCAUCAAUGGGACUUUAUCAGUGUAAAACAAGAGGACUCCCCAUUUGACCUCAUCAGGGCUAGCUGCCAGGACCUGAGGACCACAGGGCACCGCAGGCCAGGGUGGUCCUGCUGCUGCCCUUUGGACGUGCAGAGAAGAGAUUCACCCUUCUGUGAGUGAAGCCCCUAGAGGCAGGACAGAGCUGACUUUCUCCAGCCGUUGGUGGGGCGGCUCAGGAUAUUGCAGGUCUGCACCCUCGUUAGGCAAACUCCUGCCAGGUGUCGAGGUGCUUCGCCUCUCGCGGGACCAGGCCCACUGGCAAACUUCACUUUCCUCUGCAAGUUUUUCAUGAAAGGUCUGGCUCCUCCUGCAAGGUUGGGAGAAAAGCAAAGAACAGGGGUAUUCUGGAGACACAAGUAAAAUUCUUUGAAUUUUCACUUUUUCCUACCCAAUUAAGCCCAUAAUGCCAUUUUAUUUUUAGUUUAAAAAUUCACAAUGUUAUCAACUGAGGGAACUGAACUGAUUUCAGGAGAGCUUGGAUUAGGUGCUAAAAUAGAUCUCUCAGAUUCCAGGAAACUGUAAACGGCCCAUCCCAGGAUAUAUUUAUUGUAGCCUGCAGAUCAGAGCACUCACUAGUAUUACCUCAUGCCAGCUGGGCAGAGUUUCAACAUUUUUCACAUUAUUUUCCUCCAUGUGCUUCAACCAAACUUCCUUUCUGUAAGAGAAGCAUUUAUGAGAAACAGAAACAACUUGCAACAAGCAUUGCAAUCUCAAGGCUACAGACAGAGAAGCAGCUGGUUUUUUGUUACUAGCCUUUUCAGCUUUUCAGCCUGGUACCCUACCAUUGCACAGCAGCCUUCAGCCCUGCCUUAACCCCUUGCAGCCCAGAGGGCGCAGCGGGAGGCACGCGUGCUGCCUACGGGCCGGGACGCUGGACGGUGGCUGGGUGCUUGUUAUCAGGGAGCCAGCGUAUCCCUGGCUCAGCGAAGGCUGCGCACCAAUGUGAUACGCCUGGGUUAGCCACUGCAAAGGGAGCUAACGGGUUCUGGGUUUGAUGGGGAAAAGGGAGGAAGCAAGCAGGGAAGGAAAUGAGAAAGGGUCUGCCUUAGAGCUGGUCUCUCUAGGAUGGAGGGAGAUAGGACCGCACAGGUAGGCAGCGAUGAGAAGAGGUGGGGAAGGGAAAGGGGAUGAAUCCGAGGUCCGGGAGCCGCAGGCUGCUGGGAGGGGAGCGGCGCUGGAGGAGUUUAAAAGAGCAGCAGGUAGCAAGGGAAAACAAAAAAGCUGGGCCCCCAAAAAGCUGGGCCUGGAAGGACUGUUGAGUACUGGUGGGCAUGGAAAGGUCACGAUACGCUGAUGGAAGGAAGCAGACAGAGCAGCAAGGAAGCAGAUAAGAGGGUCUCGCUCACCACCCUCCCUCUCUUCCCUUCCACAAAGCCACGCUCCAUCCUGUGGUUAUCGACCUUCCCUGCCCGAACACGGCACCUCGGCCCCGCUCCCUCCCCGGGGCUCACUGGCAUCCGCCCGAGGCAGAUUUCUGCGGCAGCCCUCCCUCGUCACCAGCGCCCGAGCAGGGCUUCCCCACCGCAGACCUUCUCUGCUGGUCUGAUUCAAGCGCCAGGGAGAGGAGAGCUCCAAGCAAAGCCUGCCGUAAGCGCUUGGCACAAUGCACGCACUUCACGUGCAGCAGCUGAAGGCCUUUCCCUCUGCCCAUUUAAAAAAAAAUAUCCAUACAAGCGCUACCUCUCCAUUGAGAAUCGUGAAGUCUGGACAUAGACGGGUGGAGGAUCCCUCUUGUCACCCAUGUUCCAUAAAUCACAUCACCCAGCUCCCACUGCUCCUUUAGUCUCAGCUUUACUGCGGGGUUGGGUGUUACCCUCCGUGAACGACUCCUUGGCUUGGCCAGCAGACCAGCUCUUAGAAAAGCUACGGCCAGCCCUGCUCUGCCACAGCUACCCGGCGCGAUCCGCAGGAAACCGCUCUGCCCCAGGCUUUCUGGUACAGGAUUUUGACAACGUUUACAAGUCUAAUUCCUAACCAUUUCUGUGAGAGGUAAAUAUCCAGCCUCCCCAUCUCAGCCCAAGCUCAUUCUUUUUCCACACAUUAGGGAUUUGAAAUCCAAGGGUCAUCUGCCUUAUACGUACCUCAUGCACAGCGCAGGGUGAAGGAGCCUUUGGCGGGGAGCUUGUUAGGAAGCUGGCGGGCUCCUUUACUGCUGCUCUGGCAUAUAACUUUACCUGGAGGCGAAUGCAAAAUAAAUGCUGGGUGCAUUUCCA